UACGAAGGGGGCUAGCGUUGUUCGGAAUCACUGGGCGUAAAGGGCGCGUAGGCGGCUUUAUAAGUCGGGUGUGAAAUCCCUCGGCUCAACCGAGGAAGUGCACUCGAUACUGCGUUGCUUGAGUGUUGGAGGGGAUGGCGGAAUUCCCGGUGUAGAGGUGAAAUUCGUAGAUAUCGGGAGGAACACCUGUGGCGAAGGCGGCCAUCUGGACAACUACUGACACUGAGACGCGAAAGCGUGGGUAGCAAACAGG
RNAcentral lists this ribosomal RNA (253 nucleotides) under uncultured bacterium. RNAcentral describes it as "partial 16S ribosomal RNA". It matches the Rfam family "Bacterial small subunit ribosomal RNA", at positions 524 to 776 of the family's 1533-position model. The record is from RNAcentral.